AUGAGCUAAAAAUAGCACAGCUGGGAAACCCAAGUUAUGACCUCGGAUUAAAUUACGGUCUUGUAAACAAUUUCAGAGAUUUGCCAUCAAAAAGGCUGUAUGAAUCGGAUAGUGACACUGAUGAGAAUGAGACAGACACCGAGAGUAGGCCAUCACAACUUAUUGACAAAGCAACAACGCCCAAACAGGCACGAAGCCUACUUUCACCUCCGCCUUGCUUAUCUGCACAGGCAUUGCGAGAGGCCGGCAGUGCUUCUCUAAUACAAGGUGCUUCUGAUACGCCCUCCCGUGGGCAGAUUAUUGGGCCCAGUAAGUAUAAACUUCGGAGCUGUAAAUAUAUUCAUUACAGUACAUACUUAUUAAAUGUUCUAUACUCAAUACAAGCCAAUAAAUGUUGUAACAAGCUGGAUUGAGUGACACAGCCUAAAAUGGAAAGUUUCACCUUAUGACGCCCCUAGUUAAAAAAAAUUCAAAAGAAAUUGAUGAUUACUUGUGUUAGUCUUUAUCAUGAUGUGAAUUAAUGUUCGCCUAUUCUUGUCUGACCCCACAACUGUUAUCCAAAGUUACGGUCCUUGGAAUAGUCAAAAAUGUUUAUUUUCACCCCAUGACAUGCCUAGCUCAAAAAUAUUUUAAGUUAAAGCCAAGGAAAAAUUUAAAAUACUGGAUUUUUUUCAUUUGUAAUUCACAUAGCUCUAAAAGUAUAAAGCCUAGAAUUAUGAAUCCUUUUUUGCAGCUGCUGUUACACAGAUUCUCUGAGUCUUGGAGACAAUGCAGGAGGAGAAUCGUGACAUUAAGAGGAUGAUGUAGCAAUUGUUGUCAAGGUCAGCAGCAGAUGACUAACCGCUGCAGCUUCCUGAAGAUAUCUCAUUCCCUAUUCGUUCUCCUUAGCAGAUGGAAACAUUCGAUGAGCUUCUGGGAGAUCAGACAAAGCUGUCAUCUGUGGUGCGGUUCCUCUCAAUGUUUGGUGGGGCAGUUGUGCAGGAAACUGUUGACCGCUAGAUGAUAGAAACCAUGUCAAAUGAACUGGCAAGAAUGUUCAAUAUGAAGGGGCUGAAAGGGAAGAAAACAUUUGGGGGCCUCUAGAUACUGAAUGUAUUGUAUAAAUGUGUCCAAAGGAACUUGCCGGCAAAGACUGCGACGAGGAAGGAUAUUGAAAUAAAGGUUUCAAAGUGGCUGGCUGGGGCGUGGGACCGCGAUGGGGGAAGGAAAGCAAGAAACAAAUUGUCCGAGACCUUACCUUAAGCAAAUGAAGGAAGUGACUAGACAUGUUUUUAUUUUUAAAAAAUGCAAAUCUAUAGAGGAUACAUGUAUUUGUUUGUUAGUGUGUAAGAUGAAAUUUUAUAUCAUCAAGUGAGCUGUAAAAACAUUAUUCUCACAAGUGAGAACACUGUUAUUUAAAAGUCCCUCAAUGAUAUAAAAUUACAUCUUACACAACAAAUAAUAAAGUGUCUUUUUAUUUUAUGCUAAUGAAACUUCCUCAAUAUUAACUUUAAUAAUUAUUAAAUCUGUUUUCCCCACUGUUAACAUCAAUUUUAGUUGAAUUUAAGUCCAAUUAUUCAUAAAUAAAGGAGUCUUGGGCUGAACAAAAAGUUUGACAAUCAACGUUGAAUGGCAAUGAUUUUAUUUAUUUUAUUAAAAAAAUAUGAAUAAUCGCUUUUUUUAAUAAUAAAAACAACCAAUUCUAGAAGAAAAAGUCACACCAUCCCACCUUAUUUCUGUUACUCAGGCAAUAUAUGUAUGACCUGGCUUUGUGAAAUGUAAGUGGCGGCCAUUUUUAAAAGUUGUGUAUUUUAAGGAAAAUUAAUUUUGUUUUAUUCAGAGGAAUAUUAUUUGGAUAGGUUAGUCUUGAAACAGUCCUGAGAAUGUCAGAAUUGUCAGCAAAAAUGAUAUUAUUAAGGUACCACAUGGGGAAAAUCUUUAAAAAGUAGUCUUGUCAUUGAAAAGUUUGAAAUUUGGAUCAUUUUCACUGUAAAUUUAUCAAAUAUAAUUUUCACGGAUACAUCAGUAGUACACACAAAAGCUUGAAAUGAAUGACUUUUAUUUUACAUUUUCGAACCUUUUCUUCAUCGGCAUAUAAGUUAUUCCAAUGAUUGAAAGUCAAUAGAUAUCAAAGUAUUUUAAAAUGUGAUAAGGGUCAGAACUACAGUAAGUGGCUCAUUUGUGUAUCUUGUUAUACUUUUUGUUGCUAAUUUUAAUGUUUGAGGUCAUCAGCAUAGCAUGUCUUUCUUGUAAAUACAAAAUUCUUUGCCUUCUAGUCAGUUUAUUUUGCUGCUAUGUAAUGUUUGUUGUUGACAUUAUAUGCUGUUUUUCUGUUGUCUAUAUGCUGUUGUUAUUUUUUUUCAUUAAACAUUGUUGCUAUUUAAAUCAAGACAUAAAAUGCUUGGGGAAUGUUUUUGAUACUGAUCAAUACAAUUAUAACAUCUUGUCCAAACUUAACACUAACAGGGAACACAUAUAUAGAUAUGGUAUUAACCUUUUAAAUCAAGUUGAAAUACUGUACAAUGAUGCUUCUUGUAAUCUUUAUUUUUGUUAUUGUUGAAACUUUGAUAAUAUCGGAUAAAUUACUGAAACAACUAUUUUUACUGACAAUUUUUUAAAUGAACUUCUUCACAACAAAUUUGAUCUCGUUAAAUCAGUAUUAUUUCACAUUUUUAAAGGAAUAUAUCCAUAAUUAAUUACUGUUCUGUGAUAUAUAGGAUAAUUGUUAAUUUCGGUGUAAUAUCACAUUUUAAUUAUUAUUAAUUUCACAGAGUGGAUACCUAAAG
Ruditapes philippinarum (Manila clam) is the source of this 2765-nucleotide long non-coding RNA. RefSeq lists it as uncharacterized. NCBI's taxonomy places the organism in Eukaryota, Metazoa, Mollusca, Bivalvia, Venerida, Veneridae. The record is from RefSeq and is a predicted model, not a curated record. The transcript is spliced from 4 exons.